AAACUUUGACUGGUACUGUAUGUGAAAUGUAUGACCAAAGGGGUUUGACGUUAAACUAAGUACAGGGCUUUCAUCAACGUUCGUGUUUCUGUAGGUUGGGGGCUUUCAUCAAGGUGUUUCUAUAGGUUGGGGGCUUUCAUCAAGGUUAGUGUUUCUGUUGGGGGGGCUUUCAUCAAGGUUAGUGUUUCUGUAGGUUGGGGGCUUUCAUCAACGUUAGUGUUUCUGUAGGUUGGGGGCUUUCAUCAAGGUGUUUCUAUAGGUUGGGGGAUUUCAUCAAGGUUAGUGUUUCUGUAGGUUGGGGGCUUUCAUCAAGGUGUUUCUAUAGGUUGGGGGCUUUCAUCAAGGUUAGUGUUUCUAUAGGUUGUGGGCUUUCAUCAAGGUGUUUCUGUGGGUUGGUGGCUUUCAUCAAGGUGUUUCUGUAUGUUGGGGGCUUCCAUCAAGGUGUUUCUGUUGGUUGGGGGCUUUCAUCAAGGUUAGUGUUUCUGUAGGUUUGGGGGCUUUCAUCAAGGUUAGUGUUUCUGUAGGUUGGGGGCUUUCAUCAAGGUUAGUUUUUCUAUAGGUCGGGGGCUUUCAUCAACGUCAGUGUUUCUGUAGGUUGGGGGCUUUCAUCAAGGUUAGUGUUUCUGUAGGUUGGGGGCUUUCAUCAAGGUUAGUGUUUCUAUAGGUUGGGGAUUUUAUCAAGGUGUUUCUGUAGGUUGGGGGCUUUCUUCAAGGUGUUUCUGUAGGUUGGGGGCUUUCAUCAAGGUUAGUGUUUCUGUAGGUUGGGGGCUUUCAUCAAGAUGUUUCUGUAGGUUGGGGGCUUUCAUCAAGGUGUUUCUGUAGGUUGGGGGCUUUCAUCAAGGUUAGUGUUUCUGUAGGUUGGGGGCUUUCAUGAAGGUGUUUCUGUAGGUUGGGGGCUUUCAUCAAGGUUAGUGUUUCUAUAGGUUGGGGGCUUUCAUCAAGGUGUUUCUGUAGGUUGGGUGCUUUCAUCAAGGUGUUUCUAUAGGUUGGGUGCUUUU
Oncorhynchus tshawytscha (Chinook salmon) is the source of this 998-nucleotide long non-coding RNA. The record is from Ensembl. Lineage: Eukaryota; Metazoa; Chordata; Actinopteri; Salmoniformes; Salmonidae.